AGCAGCCGCGGUAAUUCCAGCUCCAAUAGCGUAUAUUAAAGUUGUUGCAGUUAAAAAGCUCGUAGUUGAAUUUCGGGACCAAUCUGCCGGUCGUGCCUCCGGUACGCACUGGUUUUAUUGGUUUCUCCCUUCUGACGAACCACGAUGUCAUUAAUUUGGUGUCAUGGGGAAUCAGGACUGUUACUUUGAAAAAAUUUAGAGUGUUUAAAGCAGGCUCGCGCUUGAAUACAUUAGCAUGGAAUAAUGAAAUAGGAUGUUUGAUCUUAUUUUGUUGGUUUCUAGGAUCGACAUAAUGAUUAAUAGGGAUAGUUGGGGGCAUUAGUAUUCAAUUGUCAGAGGUGAAAUUCUUGGAUUUAUUGAAGACUAACUACUGCGAAAGCAUUUGCCAAGGAUGUUUUCAUUAAUCAAGAACGAAAGUUAGGGGAUCGAAGACGAUCAGAUACCGUCGUAGUCUUAACCAUAAACUAUGCCGACUAGGGAUCGGAUGAUGUUAAUUUUUUAAUGACUCAUUCGGCGCCUU
Molecule: ribosomal RNA, 520 nt
Filed under: uncultured Glomus
Lineage: Eukaryota; Fungi; Glomeromycota; Glomeromycetes; Glomerales; Glomeraceae
Description: SSU rRNA
Rfam family: Eukaryotic small subunit ribosomal RNA
Source: RNAcentral